CUACGGGAGGUAGCAGUGGGGAAUAUUGGACAAUGGGGGAAACCCUGAUCCAGCAAUGCCGCGUGUGUGAAGAAGGCCUGCGGGUUGUAAAGCACUUUCGGUUGGGAGGACUGCUUCUAGCACUAAUAUUGUUGGAAGUUGACGUUACCUUCAGAAGAAGCACCGGCUAACUCCGUGCCAGCAGCCGCGGUAAUACGGAGGGUGCAAGCGUGAAUCGGAAUUACUGGGCGUAAAGCGCGCGUAGGCGGCUAUGUCAGUCGGGUGUGAAAGCCCCGGGCUUAACCUGGGAACUGCAUCCGAUACUGUCUAGCUUGAGUACAGGAGAGGAGAGUGGAAUUCCACAUGUAGCGGUGAAAUGCGUAGAUAUGUGGAGGAACACCAAUGGCGAAGGCAGCUCUCUGGCCUGAUACUGACGCUGAGGUGCGAAAGCGUGGGGAGCAAACAGGAUUAGAUACCCGAGUAGUC
RNAcentral lists this ribosomal RNA (465 nucleotides) under uncultured bacterium. RNAcentral's name for it is "partial 16S ribosomal RNA". It matches the Rfam family "Bacterial small subunit ribosomal RNA", at positions 339 to 795 of the family's 1533-position model. The record is from RNAcentral.